CAGAGUUCUCGCCCUCGCGGGUAGAUCUCCCACCCACUGUUAUCGUUACUGUCGUUUCUUUGGCGGGCCGCCGGGUCCCCGGCCGCCGGCGUCUAAUAGGCGGCGCGCGCCCGCCAGAGGCCUUCGAACCCUGAAUGUUAGUGUCGUCUGAGUACUAUAUAAUAGUUA
Molecule: unclassified non-coding RNA, 168 nt
Filed under: uncultured Oidiodendron
Lineage: Eukaryota; Fungi; Ascomycota; Leotiomycetes; Myxotrichaceae
Description: sequence contains ITS1
Source: RNAcentral